UGGAUUAGUGGCGAACGGGUGAGUAACACGUGAGUAACCUGCCCUUAACUCUGGGAUAAGCCUGGGAAACUGGGUCUAAUACCGGAUAUGACUCCUCAUCGCAUGGUGGGGGGUGGAAAGCUUUUUGUGGUUUUGGAUGGACUCGCGGCCUAUCAGCUUGUUGGUGAGGUAAUGGCUUACCAAGGCGACGACGGGUAGCCGGCCUGAGAGGGUGACCGGCCACACUGGGACUGAGACACGGCCCAGACUCCUACGGGAGGCAGCAGUGGGGAAUAUUGCACAAUGGGCGCAAGCCUGAUGCAGCGACGCCGCGUGAGGGAUGACGGCCUUCGGGUUGUAAACCUCUUUCAGUAGGGAAGAAGCGAAAGUGACGGUACCUGCAGAAGAAGCGCCGGCUAACUACGUGCCAGCAGCCGCGGUAAUACGUAGGGCGCAAGCGUUAUCCGGAAUUAUUGGGCGUAAAGAGCUCGUAGGCGGUUUGUCGCGUCUGCCGUGAAAGUCCGGGGCUCAACUCCGGAUCUGCGGUGGGUACGGGCAGACUAGAGUGAUGUAGGGGAGACUGGAAUUCCUGGUGUAGCGGUGAAAUGCGCAGAUAUCAGGAGGAACACCGAUGGCGAAGGCAGGUCUCUGGGCAUUAACUGACGCUGAGGAGCGAAAGCAUGGGGAGCGAACAGGAUUAGAUACCCUGGUAGUCCAUGCCGUAAACGUUGGGCACUAGGUGUGGGGGACAUUCCACGU
This 738-nucleotide ribosomal RNA is filed under the name Pseudarthrobacter oxydans. Its description in RNAcentral is "bacterial SSU rRNA". It matches the Rfam family "Bacterial small subunit ribosomal RNA", at positions 88 to 837 of the family's 1533-position model. The record is from RNAcentral. Lineage: Bacteria; Bacillati; Actinomycetota; Actinomycetes; Micrococcales; Micrococcaceae.